Melanotaenia boesemani (Boeseman's rainbowfish) is the source of this 369-nucleotide long non-coding RNA. RefSeq lists it as uncharacterized. NCBI's taxonomy places the organism in Eukaryota, Metazoa, Chordata, Actinopteri, Atheriniformes, Melanotaeniidae. The transcript is spliced from 3 exons. The record is from RefSeq and is a predicted model, not a curated record.
CUUGUCCCAUGGUAAAGCCUCUGUGGAAUGAGGCUUUUCUGUAAACAAGGAAGUAGAGACAACAAACAUGCAAGGGGAAACUGGCUAUCCAGAGGCUUGUGUGUGAUUAUGUCACCUUACAUGGGGGUGUUACUCAGGUUCCACUCACAAAGGAGCUACUAUCAUCUGUAGCAGCAGCAAGGACCAACUACCGUAUUCACCUGGAUCAGGAGAGACAGACAAAGGAGGCCAAAACACAAGCUCAAAAAAGAAAGGCAGAGAGGACCAUCUGGAUGAACUUAGAAAAAAAGAAAACCCUUCUAUAGGCUGAGUCACCAUCCCAACAAAGGGAAAGUAUCAGAGGAGAGCAGCCUAAACACACUUGAAGAG